This 1277-nucleotide ribosomal RNA is filed under the name bacterium BREP10. RNAcentral describes it as "bacterial SSU rRNA". It matches the Rfam family "Bacterial small subunit ribosomal RNA", at positions 33 to 1293 of the family's 1533-position model. The record is from RNAcentral.
ACGCUGGCGGCGUGCCUAAUACAUGCAAGUCGAGCGGACAGAUGGGAGCUUGCUCCCUGAUGUUAGCGGCGGACGGGUGAGUAACACGUGGGUAACCUGCCUGUAAGACUGGGAUAACUCCGGGAAACCGGGGCUAAUACCGGAUGGUUGUCUGAACCGCAUGGUUCAGACAUAAAAGGUGGCUUCGGCUACCACUUACAGAUGGACCCGCGGCGCAUUAGCUAGUUGGUGAGGUAACGGCUCACCAAGGCGACGAUGCGUAGCCGACCUGAGAGGGUGAUCGGCCACACUGGGACUGAGACACGGCCCAGACUCCUACGGGAGGCAGCAGUAGGGAAUCUUCCGCAAUGGACGAAAGUCUGACGGAGCAACGCCGCGUGAGUGAUGAAGGUUUUCGGAUCGUAAAGCUCUGUUGUUAGGGAAGAACAAGUGCCGUUCAAAUAGGGCGGCACCUUGACGGUACCUAACCAGAAAGCCACGGCUAACUACGUGCCAGCAGCCGCGGUAAUACGUAGGUGGCAAGCGUUGUCCGGAAUUAUUGGGCGUAAAGGGCUCGCAGGCGGUUUCUUAAGUCUGAUGUGAAAGCCCCCGGCUCAACCGGGGAGGGUCAUUGGAAACUGGGGAACUUGAGUGCAGAAGAGGAGAGUGGAAUUCCACGUGUAGCGGUGAAAUGCGUAGAGAUGUGGAGGAACACCAGUGGCGAAGGCGACUCUCUGGUCUGUAACUGACGCUGAGGAGCGAAAGCGUGGGGAGCGAACAGGAUUAGAUACCCUGGUAGUCCACGCCGUAAACGAUGAGUGCUAAGUGUUAGGGGGUUUCCGCCCCUUAGUGCUGCAGCUAACGCAUUAAGCACUCCGCCUGGGGAGUACGGUCGCAAGACUGAAACUCAAAGGAAUUGACGGGGGCCCGCACAAGCGGUGGAGCAUGUGGUUUAAUUCGAAGCAACGCGAAGAACCUUACCAGGUCUUGACAUCCUCUGACAAUCCUAGAGAUAGGACGUCCCCUUCGGGGGCAGAGUGACAGGUGGUGCAUGGUUGUCGUCAGCUCGUGUCGUGAGAUGUUGGGUUAAGUCCCGCAACGAGCGCAACCCUUGAUCUUAGUUGCCAGCAUUCAGUUGGGCACUCUAAGGUGACUGCCGGUGACAAACCGGAGGAAGGUGGGGAUGACGUCAAAUCAUCAUGCCCCUUAUGACCUGGGCUACACACGUGCUACAAUGGACAGAACAAAGGGCAGCGAAACCGCGAGGUUAAGCCAAUCCCACAAAUCUGUUCUCAGUU